UUGCCCGAUAGAGGGGGAUAACUACUGGAAACGGUGGCUAAUACCGCAUAAUGUCUACGGACCAAAGCAGGGGCUCUUCGGACCUUGCACUAUCGGAUGAACCCAUAUGGGAUUAGCUAGUAGGUGGGGUAAAGGCUCACCUAGGCGACGAUCUCUAGCUGGUCUGAGAGGAUGAUCAGCCACACUGGGACUGAGACACGGCCCAG
Molecule: ribosomal RNA, 206 nt
Filed under: uncultured bacterium
Lineage: Bacteria
Description: partial 16S ribosomal RNA
Rfam family: Bacterial small subunit ribosomal RNA
Source: RNAcentral